UUAUACAGCGAAACUGCGAAUGGCUCAUUAUAUAAGUUAUCGUUUAUUUGAUAGUACCUUACUACUUGGAUAACCGUGGUAAUUCUAGAGCUAAUACAUGCUAAAAAUCCCGACUCACGAAGGGAUGUAUUUAUUAGAUUAAAAACCAAUGCCCUUCGGGGCUCACUGGUGAUUCAUAAUAACUUCUCGAAUCGCAUGGCCUUGCGCCGGCGAUGGUUCAUUCAAAUUUCUUCCCUAUCAACUUUCGAUGCUAGAGUAGUGUUCUAGCAUGGUUACAACGGGUAACGGAGGGUUAGGGCUCGACCCCGGAGAAGGAGCCUGAGAAACGGCUACUACAUCCAAGGAAGGCAGCAGGCGCGCAAAUUACCCAAUCCCGACACGGGGAGGUAGUGACGAUAAAUACUGAUACAGGGCUCUUUUGGGUCUUGUAAUUGGAAUGAGUACAAUUUAAAUCCCUUAACGAGGAACAAUUGGAGGGCAAGUCUGGUGCCAGCAGCCGCGGUAAUUCCAGCUCCAAUAGCGUAUAUUAAAGUUGUUGUGGUUAAAAAGCUCGUAGUAGAACCUUGGGCCUGGCUGGCCGGUCCGCCUCACCGCGUGCACUGGUCCGGCCGGGCCUUUCCCCCUGUGGAACCUCAUGCCCUUCACUGGGUGUGUGGGAAAACAGGACUUUUACUUUGAAAAAAUUAGAGUGCUCCAGGCAGGCCUAUGCUCGAAUACAUUAGCAUGGAAUAAUAGAAUAGGACGUGUGGUUCUAUUUUGUUGGUUUCUAGGACCGCCGUAAUGAUUAAUAGGGACAGUCGGGGGCAUCAGUAUUCAAUUGUCAGAGGUGAAAUUCUUGGAUUUAUUGAAGACUAACUACUGCGAAAGCAUUUGCCAAGGAUGUUUUCAUUUAUCAGGAACGAAAGUUAGGGGAUCGAAGACGAUCAGAUACCGUCGUAGUCUUAACCAUAAACUAUGCCGACUAGGGAUCGGACGAUGUUAUUUUUUGACUCGUUCGGCACCUUACGAGAAAUCAAAGUGCUUGGGCUCCA
RNAcentral lists this ribosomal RNA (1031 nucleotides) under Colletotrichum fragariae. RNAcentral describes it as "SSU rRNA". It matches the Rfam family "Eukaryotic small subunit ribosomal RNA", at positions 74 to 1116 of the family's 1831-position model. The record is from RNAcentral. Lineage: Eukaryota; Fungi; Ascomycota; Sordariomycetes; Glomerellales; Glomerellaceae.